AUUGAACGCUGGCGGCAUGCUUUACACAUGCAAGUCGAACGGUAACAGGCCGCUAGGUGCUGACGAGUGGCGCACGGGUGUGUAAUGCAUCGGAACGUGCCCAGUCGUGGGGGAUAACUACUCGAAAGAGGAGCUAAUACCGCAUACGAUCUAUGGAUGAAAGCGGGGGACCGUAAGGCCUCUCGCGAUUUGAGCUGCCGAUGUCCGAUUAGCUAGUUGGUGGGGUAAAGGCUCACCAAGCCAACGAUCUGUAGCUGGUCUGAGAGGACGACCAGCCACACUGGGACUGAGACACGGCCCAGACUCCUACGGGAGGCAGCAGUGGGGAAUUUUGGACAAUGGGCGCAAGCCUGAUCCAGCAAUGCCGCGUGCAGGAAGAAGGCCUUCGGGUUGUAAACUGCUUUUGUACGGAACGAAGCGGAUCUGGUUAAUACCCGGGGCUAAUGACGUUACCGUAAGAAUAAGCACCGGCUAACUACGUG
This 482-nucleotide ribosomal RNA is filed under the name uncultured bacterium. Its description in RNAcentral is "partial 16S ribosomal RNA". It matches the Rfam family "Bacterial small subunit ribosomal RNA", at positions 30 to 507 of the family's 1533-position model. The record is from RNAcentral.